RNAcentral lists this ribosomal RNA (616 nucleotides) under uncultured Legionella sp. RNAcentral describes it as "bacterial SSU rRNA". It matches the Rfam family "Bacterial small subunit ribosomal RNA", at positions 242 to 849 of the family's 1533-position model. The record is from RNAcentral. Lineage: Bacteria; Pseudomonadati; Pseudomonadota; Gammaproteobacteria; Legionellales; Legionellaceae.
UAGCUAGUUGGUAGGGUAAGAGCCUACCAAGGCGACGAUCGGUAGCUGGUCUGAGAGGAUGACCAGCCACACUGGAACUGAGACACGGUCCAGACUCCUACGGGAGGCAGCAGUGGGGAAUAUUGGACAAUGGGGGCAACCCUGAUCCAGCAAUGCCGCGUGUGUGAAGAAGGCCUGAGGGUUGUAAAGCACUUUCAGUGGGGAGGAGGGUAUGUAGGUUAAGAGCUGACAUACUGGACGUUACCCACAGAAGAAGCACCGGCUAACUCCGUGCCAGCAGCCGCGGUAAUACGGAGGGUGCGAGCGUUAAUCGGAAUUACUGGGCGUAAAGGGUGCGUAGGUGGUUAUAUAAGUUAUCUGUGAAAUCCCCGGGCUCAACCUGGGCAGGUCAGAUAAGACUGUAUGACUCGAGUAUAGGAGAGGGUAGUGGAAUUUCCGGUGUAGCGGUGAAAUGCGUAGAGAUCGGAAGGAACACCAGUGGCGAAGGCGGCUACCUGGCCAGAUACUGACACUGAGGCACGAAAGCGUGGGGAGCAAACAGGAUUAGAUACCCUGGUAGUCCACGCUGUAAACGAUGUCAACUAGUUGUUGGCCUUAUGAAUGAGGUUAGUGACGA